Molecule: ribosomal RNA, 813 nt
Filed under: Trigona amalthea
Lineage: Eukaryota; Metazoa; Arthropoda; Insecta; Hymenoptera; Apidae
Also listed under: 7 other names
Description: eukaryotic LSU rRNA
Rfam family: Eukaryotic large subunit ribosomal RNA
Source: RNAcentral
AAACCGUUCAGGGGUAAACCUGAGAAACCCAAAAGGUCGAAUGGGGAGAUUCAUCGUCGACGGCGCUGGCUACCGUUGGUGCGCGAUGCUCCGGGUGGGCCCUUGCGGUUCCAUUAGCGUGUGGCACACCACCUUCGGAUCGAACGUUCCGGCGUCGUAGUCGUGCACUUCUCCCCUAGUAGGACGUCGCGACCCGUUGUGUGUCGGUCUACGGCCCGAGUGGGCGCCUGUCGCGUCGUUUCGGCGCACGCGGCAGACCCUCGGUCGCCCGGCCGGCUGCACGACGGUACACUCACGGUAUCGGGCCGCAACCAGUCCAUUCUCGAAUGUGUGUGCGUCCAACCCGCCGCAAGUUCGGUCAGUUCUUACCCGGAGGUACGGACCCUGUGCCGUCCCCGGGCCUGGCCAGCUGUUAGCAGGCGGUGUCCUCGGACUGGCCAAAUCUCAGAUUACCGGUCGGCGACGCUAUUGCUUUGGGUACUCUCAGGACCCGUCUUGAAACACGGACCAAGGAGUCUAACAUGUGCGCGAGUCAUUGGGAUGCAUAAACCUAAAGGCGAAAUGAAAGUGAAAGUCGGCCUUCGCGCCGAUCGAGGGAGGAUGGGCCGCGUAACCAUGCGGCCUCGCACUCCCGGGGCGUCUCGUUCUCAUUGCGAGAAGAGGCGCACCUAGAGCGUACACGUUGGGACCCGAAAGAUGGUGAACUAUGCCUGGUCAGGACGAAGUCAGGGGAAACCCUGAUGGAGGUCCGUAGCGAUUCUGACGUGCAAAUCGAUCGUCGGAACUGGGUAUAGGGGCGAAAGACUAAUCGAA